Long non-coding RNA from Alligator mississippiensis (American alligator), 842 nucleotides. RefSeq lists it as uncharacterized. Lineage: Eukaryota; Metazoa; Chordata; Crocodylia; Alligatoridae. The transcript has 4 exons. The record is from RefSeq and is a predicted model, not a curated record.
CCCGCCUCCCACGCGACGUAACCGGGGCGCCGCGAUCCCACAAUGCGCCGCGGUGGGGUCCUCUUGCCUACGGUGCUCGUCUUAGUGUCCCGCUGACCCUGUAUCAUCAGGGUGCAAGAAGCACCAGCCCCAAGAACAGGUGGAAACAAACCAGCCAAGGAGACAGUGAAGUCAGAUGAUGGGGAAGGAUCCCACUCAUGGAGCAGCAAGUACCUGAGACAACAUCUCCCUAGGACUGCAGGCAAGAGAUCAGGCUGGUUUUGAGCUGGCGUUUGAUAAUGUUACAUAUGGGAUUGUCAGAGGGAGCUGCCUUUGACAGCAGGACUGGACUCCAGUGUUCCUCCCCAGCUCAGUGGAUCCGGCAGGGGGCAGCUGGAGUGACAAAUUCAGAGCAGCCCCAAGGUGGAACAGUGCAGGGAUUAACCUGGAACAACCUAUCAGGGAACAAGGUUCUCCAGCAGAGUGAACCAUUAGGUCUGACCUCCGGGGACUAGGUGCCAGGAUCAGGUCUUCAAAGAGCCCCCAGGCCUCCAGUGGUCGCAGAUUUGGAUGAAAACAGCAGAGAUGGUAGCCCCUUCGGAUGGUAGCUCACCCGAAAGUGCCAGUGGUCUCCCAAAAGUGCCACUUAUAGGUCAGCAGGAUUGACUGCAGGAGAGCUCCACCCGGUCAAUGACUGACCACUAGGGGGGCAAGUGCCCCCUCUGACUAGAGGUACCAGUCACCCAUGAAGUAGAUGGAGAUCCUCUCAAAGCAGAUCUGGGGGUUGUGUGGGUUGCAAACUUAAUACGAGCCAACAGUGUGAUGUCAUUGCAGAAAUAAAGCACAGGCGCUCUUGGAUGGAA